Molecule: long non-coding RNA, 4954 nt
Organism: Oncorhynchus keta (chum salmon)
Lineage: Eukaryota; Metazoa; Chordata; Actinopteri; Salmoniformes; Salmonidae
Exons: 3
Source: RefSeq, a predicted model, not a curated record
UGGAAUCAGAACUUCCUCAAUUUCACAGAAAGGAUUGUAUUAUAGGGGUGUGCUUAUUAGUUGCUUGAAGAAUUCAUGAGAUAACCCUGUCUCUGGUUACAUUUAUGAUUCUGUGGGGCAUUCAUAUCUAGUUGGUCCCCCCUUUGCUCCUAUAACAGCCCCCACUCUUCUGGGAAGGCUUUCCACUAGAUGUUGGAACAUUGCUGCAAGGACUUGCUUCCAUCCAGUCACAAAAGCAUUGGUGGAGAUGGGAGGAAGGUAGGCCAGACAUUUUGGGGACAUGGGUUUGGCUUUCCAUUCCCUGCACUUGAGGCAGGAAUGUUGGUGUUGGCGCACAGCUUGACAUCCCUAGUCGAGUCUGACCACCGAACUGUCCUGUCCACAGGUAAGGGGAUAUCGGUCUGUAACAGCUUGGCAACUGUAAGGGCAGCGACUGCCAGAGAAUGGAAAGAGGACAUUUAGGAGCUAGUCUUGAGUUUUCCAUGACAAAGGAGACGUGGACUUGUGCUUACUGGGUUUCGAUCCUGUGGUAUGCCACAUACCCUUAAGCCGGCUCUGAAGCAUCACCGAACACAUGCAACUCUUGAAAGUAACUGGGAUGUUCACUGGGGCUAUAGCAUCUGGGAAUCUGGAUCUUGACCAAUUCAGGGAGCUCACCUUCCCUCUCAGUCCAGGCCUGAUGGAUAGUGCUCUCUGGGGGUUGGAAUUGGGUUAUCCCACACUCUGUUAUUAACCCACAGUUGCGGUAGCAGGACUUUACCUCGUGUGGUGAAGAGUGACAUGAAACCCAGCCGGUCGUACUGACUUGCCAAGACUUUGUACAAGUUUCUCAGGUUAAGGCUCUUGUACUCAACUGGUCGGUGCUUGUAGCCCAGUGUAUCCGAUGGACAGUGAUGACUAGGGUUGCAAAGGGUCAGAAACUUUCCGGUAAAUUUCCAAAAUUUUCUGAACAUUUUCCAUGGUAAAUUAAGCCUGGGAAUUUUGCUGAAAUUCAUCAAAAACAGUUAGCUUAUAAUUUUUGUGGAUUGCACACAAGGCAACUAUCCCCAAUUCAAUGGAAUUGCAACCCUCUGCAUGCACAGUGCAUUAUUCCGUCACGUGCAGUACACUCUUCCACAGAUAUUGCACACUAAUGAGAUGCUAUUGAGUCCACACUACUAUACUGUCUGAGCCAAGGACUACAUGCUUUCUGGUAAGUUUUGACAGUACUGAAUGGGGUGAAUAUAUUUUAUGACAUGAUUUUUUUGUUAACUAGUAAAUAGUAGCCUACAGCAAAGUGUUUAAAUAAUUUCUAACUUGUUAACAAUUUCUGCUAGUUAGUUUUUGCUACCAUGUAUGUUUUAGCUUGCUUGAGCCUGCUAACGGGGGAGUGUUAAUUCACCUGUUUCCAUACGUUUCAUUUUAAAACAUUUACCUUACAAAGGAGUUGUUUAAUCUAACUAACUAUUUCUGUACAUUGAAUUGUAUUUUUUUUUUUUACUCUUUUCUCAUCUUUACAGGAAAAUGCCACGGACACUGUCUGUGUGGAGACAUUUCACUGCAGCUAAUGUAGAAGGAAAAGCAUACACCCCUCCAACCAGACAUAAUUUAUCUACUCAUUUGCUGGAUGCAGAGUUCAAGUGAAGGUCAAGCAAAUCAUAUAGAAAGCGGACUGUAUUGCAAACAUCUCUGAUGGGGGGUUUGAAUGUUCGUGGGCAAGGAAUAAUUAACUACAUCUCCACCCCUCAACCAGUAUUCUACAAGAGCACAGACACAAGGGACAACAGACACACACGUUUCUACAUUGCAGAUGAGUUGAAGGCAGUCAUCAUUGACCUUGGACCACAGAAGGUAUUUGCACUGGUGACAGACAACGCUGUGAAAAUGAAGGCUGCUUGGUAUAAAGUGGAGUCCUACCCUCACAUCACACCCAUUGGCUGUGCUGCUCAUGCAUUGAAUCUGCUCCUAAAGGACAUCAAGGAACUGAAAACAAUGGAUACAUUCUACAAGAGAGCCAAGGAAAUGGUUAGGUAUGUGAAGGGUCAUCAAGUCAUAGCAGAAAUCUACCUUACCAAGCAAAGUGAGAAGAAUAAGAGCGCCACAUUGAAGCUGCCCAGCAACACCUGUUGGGGUGGUGUUGUCAUCAUGUUUGACAGUCUCCUGGAGGGGAAGGACUCUCCAAGAAAUGGCCAUAUCACAGUCUGCCGAUAUGGACAGACCCAUCAAGAGGAUCCUUCUGGAUGUAUUUUGGGAGAGAGUGGUAAGCAGCCUGAAACUUCUGAAACCUAUAUCAGUAGCCAUUGCACAGAUUGAGGGAGACAAUUCCAUCCUGUCUGAUGUUCAGACUCUGCUUGCAGAUGUUAGAGAAGAAAUCCGUACUGCCCUGCCCACUUCACUGUUCCAAGCAGAGGAAACUGCAGUUCUGAAAUACAUCAAAAAGUGUGAAGACUUCUGCCUGAAGCCCAUACACGCCGCAGCGUACAUGUUGGACCCCAAGUAUGCUGGCAAGAGCAUCCUGUCUGGUGCAGGGAUCAACAAGGCCUAUGGUGUCAUCACUACCGUGUCUCGCCACCUUGGCCUGGAUGAGGGCAAGGUUCUUGGCAGUCUGGCGAAGUACACUUCCAAGCAAGGGCUUUGGGAUGGAGAUGCAAUAUGGCAGUCGUGCCAACAUCUCAUCAGCCACCUGGUGGAAGGGACUUUCCAUUGUUGCCUCCAUCAUCCUUCAAAUCCCACCAAAAUCGGCCGCCUCAGAGCGCAACUGGUCCUUGUUUGGGAACACACACACCAAAGCACGCAACAGGCUGACCAAUACAAGGGUUGAAAAAUUGGUGGGUAUCCUGGCAAUUUUGAGGCUUUUUGAGCCUGACAACGAGCCAUCCUCAACAAGGUUGGAAAGUGACAGUGAAGAUAGGGCAUCAGAGUCUGAUGUUCAAGAGGUGGACAUUGAGGAGGUCCAGGGAGAAGGCAUGGAAACCUGAGAGGAAGACAACCAAAGCUUUCAUUUCUAGACUAUCAUUUUACAGAUGUAUGUUAAAUGUUUUUGGGAGAUGCGAUGGAUCGUUGGGUAUCAUUCAAAUAUUCCCUUUUGUUGUUCAGUGAAAUCAUCCCCAAGUGAAGAGUCAACUCAUUUAAUUAAAGUUCAAUUCGCAACUAUAAAUUGUUUUUAAAAUUUAUAUUAGAAGGAUUUAAUCAUUUGCAAUUCUGUCUACUUGUGAUAUGUAAAAAGUUUGUUUCUGUCUCCAUAUGAUACAUACACUGCUCAAACAAAUAAAGGGAACACUAAAAUAACACAUCCUAGAUCUGAAUUAAUGAAAUAUUCUUAUUAAAUACUUUUUCUGUACAUAGUUGAAUGUGCUGACAACAAAACCACACAAAAACUAUCAAUGGAAAUCAAAUUUAUCAACCCAUGGAGGUCUGGAUUUGGAGUCGCACUCAAAGUUAAAGUGGAAAACCACACUACAGGCUGAUCCAACUUUGAUGUGAUGUCCUUAAAACAAGUCAAAAUGAGGCUCAGUAGUGUGUGGGGCUUCCACGUGCCUGUAUGACCUCCCUACAACGCCUGGGCAUGCUCCUGAUGAGGUGGCGGAUGGUCUCCUGAGGGAUCUCUUCCCAGACCUGGACUAAAAGAUCCGCCAACUCCUGGACAGUCUGUGGUGCAACCACAGUUGGUGGAUGGAGUGAGACAUGAUGUCCCAGAUGUGCUCAAUUGGAUUCAGGUCUGGGGAAUGGGUGGGCCAGUCCAUAGCAUCAAUGCCUUCCUCUUGCAGGAACUGCUGACACACUCCAGCCCCAUGAGGUCUAGAAUUGUCUUGCAUUAGGAGGAACCCAGGGCCAACCGCACCAGCAUAUGGUCUCACAAGGGGUCUGAGGAUCUCAUCUCGGUACCUAAUGGCAGUCAGGCUACCUCUGGCGAGCACAUGGAGGGCUGUGCGGCCCCCCAAAGAAAUGCCACCACACACCAUGACUGACCCACCGCUAAACCGGUCAUGCUGGAGGAUGUUGCAGGCAGCAGAACGUUCUCCACAGCGUCUCCAGACUCUGUCACGUCUGUCACAUGUGCUCAGUGUGAACCUGCUUUCAUCUGUGAAGAGCACAGGGCGCCAGUGGCGAAUUUGCCAAUCUUGGUGUUCUCUGGCAAAUGCCAAACGUCCUGCACGGUGUUGGGCUGUAAGCACAACCCCCACCUGUGGACGUCGGGCCCUCAUACCACCCUCAUGGAGUCUGUUUCUGACCGUUUGAGCAGACACAUUCACAUUUGGGGCGGCAGCGUAGCCUAGUGGUUAGAGCGUUGGACUAGUAACCGGAAGGUUGCGAGUUCAAACCCCCGAGCUGACAAGGUACAAAUCUGUCGUUCUGCCCCUGAACAGGCAGUUAACCCACUGUUCCCAGGCCGUCAUUGAAAAUAUGAAUAUGUUCUUAACUGACUUGCCUGGUUAAAUAAAGGUAAAAAAAUUUUUAAAAAUGGUGGCCUGCUGGAGAUCAUUUUGCAGGUCUCUGGCAGUGCUCCCCCUGCUCCUCCUUGCACAAAGGCGGAGGUAGCGGUCCUGCUGCUGGGUUGUUGCCCUCCUACGGCCUCCUCCACGUCUCCUGAUGUACUGGCGUGUCUCCUGGUAGCGCCUCCAUGCUCUGGACACUACGCGACAGACACAGCAAACCUUCUUGCCACAGCUCGCAUUGAUGUCCCAUCCUGGAUGAGCUGCACUACCUGAGCCACUUGUGUGGGUUGUAGACUCCGUCUCAUGCUACCACUAGAGUGAAAGCACCGCCAGCAUUCAAAAGUGACCAAAACAUCAGCCAGGAAGCAUAGGAACUGAGAAGUGGUCUGUGGUUAUCACCUGCAGAACCACUCCUUUAUUGGGGGUGUCUUGCUAAUUGCCUAUAAUUUCCACCUGUUGUCUAUUCCAUUUGCACAACAGCAUGUGAAAUGUAUUGUCUAUCAGUGUUGCUUCCUAAGUGGACAGUUUGAUUUCACAGA